UACAGAGGUGGCAAGCGUUGUUCGGAAUUACUGGGCGUAAAGGGCGCGUAGGCGGUCUUGCAAGUCCCGUGUGAAAUCCCUCGGCUCAACUGAGGAACUGCACGGGAAACUGCUUGGCUUGAGUUCGGGAGAGGGAAGCGGAAUUCCGGGUGUAGCGGUGAAAUGCGCAGAUAUCAGGAGGAACACCGAUGGCGAAGGCAGGUCUCUGGGCAUUAACUGACGCUGAGGAGCGAAAGCAUGGGGAGCGAACAGG
Molecule: ribosomal RNA, 253 nt
Filed under: uncultured bacterium
Lineage: Bacteria
Description: partial 16S ribosomal RNA
Rfam family: Bacterial small subunit ribosomal RNA
Source: RNAcentral